Ribosomal RNA from Lepisosteus oculatus (spotted gar), 119 nucleotides. NCBI's taxonomy places the organism in Eukaryota, Metazoa, Chordata, Actinopteri, Semionotiformes, Lepisosteidae. The record is from Ensembl.
GCCAGCAGCCAUGUCACCCUGCAACUUACAAUUGGCAACCCACUGAAGCUAAGCAGGUGUGAGCCUGGUCAGUACCUGGAUGGGAGACCUCCUUGGAAAAACUAAGGUUGCUGCUGGAA